CCGCGAGGUGGAGCAAAUCUAUAAAAUAUGUCCCAGUUCGGAUUGUUCUCUGCAACUCGAGAGCAUGAAGCCGGAAUCGCUAGUAAUCGCAAAUCAGCCAUGUUGCGGUGAAUACGUUCCCGGGUCUUGUACUCACCGCCCGUCACACCAUGGGAGUUGAUUUCACUCGAAGUGGAAAUACUAAACUAGUUAUCCCCCACAGUGGAAUCAGCGACUGGGGUGAAGUCGUAACAAGGUAACCGUAGGAGAACCUGCGGUUGGAUCACCUCCUUUCUA
Molecule: ribosomal RNA, 276 nt
Filed under: Campylobacter upsaliensis
Lineage: Bacteria; Pseudomonadati; Campylobacterota; Epsilonproteobacteria; Campylobacterales; Campylobacteraceae
Description: partial 16S ribosomal RNA
Rfam family: Bacterial small subunit ribosomal RNA
Source: RNAcentral